GGUUUGCAUAUUCAUGGAUAGUUAAUGAGAAUUUGAGUUGUGUUGGUGUUUUGGUGAAAAUGAAGAGUUAGCUCAAAUGUCAAGUGUUUUUAAGAUUGAAUGUGUCUCUGUGAGUCUUUUUAAUCAUAGUGACCUAUAAACAUGUCCUGAAAACGUAUUUUGGGAUUGGGGAAUCAAAUUGGAGGAUUUUGAGUGAAAGGGGUUCCAAACCCGUAACUUUUCUGCAAACCUGUGAAGGUUCGCUUAGAGGUUCGCUUAAGCGACCUGGUAAGCGAACAUUCAUAGUAUUUUACUGGGUUCAGUUCGCUUAAGCGAACUGUGAGCGAACGAGUGAGCGAAGAUUUCUAGUUGCUACUGGAACUCGUUCGCUUAAGCGAACAUGUCGUCGCUUAAGCGAACUGGUGAGCGACCAGCCAGCGACC
RNAcentral lists this long non-coding RNA (422 nucleotides) under Medicago truncatula (barrel medic). Its description in RNAcentral is "long non-coding RNA (MTRU_LNC001661)". The record is from RNAcentral. Lineage: Eukaryota; Viridiplantae; Streptophyta; Magnoliopsida; Fabales; Fabaceae.